This 858-nucleotide ribosomal RNA is filed under the name uncultured Neocallimastigales. RNAcentral describes it as "partial large subunit ribosomal RNA". It matches the Rfam family "Eukaryotic large subunit ribosomal RNA", at positions 1 to 646 of the family's 3401-position model. Lineage: Eukaryota; Fungi; Neocallimastigomycota; Neocallimastigomycetes; Neocallimastigales. The record is from RNAcentral.
CGCAUCUGUGCAUGCAGCAUAUCAAUAAGCGGAGGAAAAGUCAAUACCUACGCUUAGGAUGUUGACGAGACUGUCGAUCUCAUCUAUACAUGACUCUGUGCAUAUCAAUAAGCGGAGGAAAAGAAACUAACAAGGAUUCCCCUAGUAACGGCGAGUGAAGCGGGAAGAGCUCAAAUUUGAAAUCUUAAAGGGUUUCCCUUUACGAAUUGUAGUUUAAAGAAGUGUUUUCUGUUGAGGUUUUGGUAAAAGUUCUUUGGAAGUAGGACAUCAUAGAGGGUGAGAAUCCCGUAUUUGACCUUUACUUUCAACUUUGUGAUACACUUUCAAAGAGUCGGAUUGUUUGGGAAUGCAGUCCAAAAUGGGUGGUAAAUUUCAUCUAAAGCUAAAUAUUGGCGAGAGACCGAUAGCGAACAAGUACCGUGAGGGAAAGAUGAAAAGAACUUUGAAAAGAGAGUUAAACAGUACGUGAAAUUGUCAAAAGGGAAGCGUUUGACACCAGUGUUGUUUUUCUGAAAAUCAAUUAAAGAACUGUUUAUGCUAAGCUGUUUAGACUUUAUCAGCUAACUGUUUAGUUUUGAGCUUUUCUUUAAUGCACUUUUCAGUUAACAAGUCAACAUCAAUUUCUUUUGCUGUAAAAAAGCUUGAGGAAGGUGGCUUGAGAUUCGUCUUAAGUGUUUAUAGCCUCUUGCCUAUGCAGUCGGAGAGAUUGAGGUCUGCAGCGUAGAUCCUUCGGGGCUAAAUGCAUUUGUGCUAAGUUAUAGCAUUUUAUAGACAACUUGUUGACUAUGAUUUGUCUUGUAGCUUACUCGCUUAUGUUAUUUUACCUACGCUUAGGAUGUUGACGAGACUGUCGAUCUC